CUAGUACUCCCUCCGUCCCGAAAUACUUAUCGCACAAAUAGAUAAAAUCAAAAGUAUCUAGAACUAAAAUACGUCUAGAUACAUCCAUUUCUCUGACAAGUAUUUCCGGACGGAGGGAGUAGAAA
This is a non-coding RNA of Triticum aestivum (bread wheat), 125 nucleotides long. The record is from Rfam. NCBI's taxonomy places the organism in Eukaryota, Viridiplantae, Streptophyta, Magnoliopsida, Poales, Poaceae.